Molecule: ribosomal RNA, 259 nt
Filed under: uncultured Glomus
Lineage: Eukaryota; Fungi; Glomeromycota; Glomeromycetes; Glomerales; Glomeraceae
Description: partial 18S ribosomal RNA
Rfam family: Eukaryotic small subunit ribosomal RNA
Source: RNAcentral
AAGCUCGUAGUUGAAUUUCGGGAUCAAUGUUUCGGUCAUGCCGUUGGUAUGUACUGAUAUUAUUGAUUUCUCACCUUCUAAAGAACCGUAAUGCCAUUAAUUUGGUGUCACGGGGAAUUAGGACUGUUACCUUGAAAAAAUUAGAGUGUUUAAAGCAGGCUCACGCUUGAAUACAUUAGCAUGGAAUAAUGAAAUAGGACAUCCGAUUCUAUUUUGUUGGUUUCUAGGAUUGACGUAAUGAUUAAUAGGGAUAGUUGGG